Molecule: ribosomal RNA, 2285 nt
Filed under: human gut metagenome
Description: bacterial LSU rRNA
Rfam family: Bacterial large subunit ribosomal RNA
Source: RNAcentral
AGGGCGUACGGUGGAUGCCUAGGCACUUGGAACUGAAGAAGGACGCAACAAACGGCGAAACGCGACGGGGAGUGGUACGUACACAAAGAUCCGUCGAUAUCCGAAUGGGGAAACCCGGCAGCAGUAAUGAGCUGUCACCCAUGAGUGAAUACAUAGCUCAUGAGGGAGGUACCCGGAGAACUGAAACAUCUAAGUAUCCGGAGGAAAAGAAAAUAAGAAUGAUUCCGUAAGUAGCGGCGAGCGAACGCGGAGGAGCCCAAACCAGAUCUUGAUCUGGGGUUGUAGGACCACGAGAUGGCAAGAGCAAGGCUAAGAGAACGGCAUUGAAAGGCCGACCGGAGAGGGUGCAAGUCCCGUAACUGAAAGUCUAGCGAAGCCUAGUGGUAUCCUGAGUACGGCGAGACACGAGAAAUCUUGUCGGAAGCAGGCGGGACCAUCCGUCAAGGCUAAAUAUACCCAAGUGACCGAUAGUGAACCAGUACCGUGAGGGAAAGGUGAAAAGAACCGCGGGAGCGGAGUGAAAUAGAACCUGAAACCGUAUGCUUACAAGAAGUCAGAGCCCGUUAAAGGGUGAUGGCGUGCCUUUUGUAGAAUGAACCGGCGAGUUACGUUAUCGUGCGAGGUUAAGUAGAAGAUACGGAGCCGAAGCGAAAGCGAGUCUUAAUAGGGCGACAGUACGAUGAUGUAGACCCGAAACCGUGUGAUCUAGCCAUGACCAGGUUGAAGUUCAGGUGAAACUGAAUGGAGGACCGAACCGACCCCCGUUGAAAAGUUGGCGGAUGAGUUGUGGCUAGGGGAGAAAUUCCAAUCGAACACGGAUAUAGCUGGUUCUCCCCGAAAUAGCUUUAGGGCUAGCGUCGAGGUAGAGUCGCAUGGAGGUAGAGCACUGAAUGUACGAUGGCCCCAUCCCGGGGUACUGAGUAUAAUCAAACUCCGAAUGCCAUGCAGACGUACUCGGCAGUCAGACUGUGGGUGAUAAGGUCCAUGGUCAAAAGGGAAACAGCCCAGACCGCCAGUUAAGGUCCCAAAAUGUAUGCUAAGUGGAAAAGGAUGUGGGGAUGCACAGACAACUAGGAGGUUGGCUCAGAAGCAGCCAUCCUUCAAAGAGUGCGUAACAGCUCACUAGUCGAGUGACCCUGCGCCGAAAAUGUACCGGGGCUAAGCAUACUACCGAAGCUGCGGAUUCAACUUUAGAGUUGAGUGGUAGGGGAGCGUUGCAUGCACGUAGAAGCUGUACCGUAAGGAGCAGUGGAGAGCAUGGAAGAGAGAAUGCCGGUGUGAGUAGCGAGAUGUAGGUGAGAAUCCUACACACCGAUAGCCCAAGGAUUCCAGGGGAAGGUUCGUCCGCCCUGGGUAAGUCGGGACCUAACGCGAGGCCGAAAGGCGUAGUGGAUGGAAAACAGGCAGAUAUUCCUGUACCCGCGAUGGAAAUGAAGGAAUGACGGAGAAGGCUAGUGUGAGCCACUUAGUGGAUUGUGGUCGAAGCAUAUAGCAGGCUGACAGUGAAAUGCGUCAGCGGGAUGUAAGAUGUGAUAGGUAAGGGAACGUCCUCGGGCAAGUACUGAAGCACAUGAUGCCAGCUUCCAAGAAAAGUUUCUAGUAAUGAUUCCAUAGCGGCCCGUACCAAAACCGACACAGGUGGGCAAGGAGAGAAUCCUGAGGUGAGCGAGAGAACUGUUGCCAAGGAACUCGGCAAAAUGACUCCGUAAGUUAGCGAUAAGGAGUGCUCUUGUAAAAGAGAGCCGCAGUGAAGAGGCCCAAGCGACUGUUUAACUAAAACACAGCUCUCUGCAAAGUCGCAAGACGAAGUAUAGGGGGUGACGCCUGCCCGGUGCUGGAAGGUUAAGAGGAUUUGUCAUCCGCAAGGAGAAGCAAUGAAUUGAAGCCCCAGUGAACGGCGGCCGUAACUAUAACGGUCCUAAGGUAGCGAAAUUCCUUGUCAGGUAAGUUCUGACCCGCACGAAAGGCGUAACGAUUUGGGCGCUGUCUCGGCAGCAGACUCGGUGAAAUCUUAGUACCUGUGAAAAUGCAGGUUACCCGCAACUAGACGGAAAGACCCCAUGGAGCUUUACUGUAGCCUGAUAUUGAAUUUUGAUCAAAGAUGUACAGGAUAGGUGGGAGGCUGUGAGACGUGUACGCCAGUAUACGAGGAGCCGCUGUUGGGAUACCACUCUUGUUUGAUUGAAGUUCUAACCUGCACCCAUGAACUGGGUGAGGGACCGUGUCAGGUGGGCAGUUUGACUGGGGCGGUCGCCUCCUAAAGAGUAACGGAGGCGCCCAAAGGU